Molecule: ribosomal RNA, 499 nt
Filed under: uncultured bacterium
Lineage: Bacteria
Description: partial 16S ribosomal RNA
Rfam family: Bacterial small subunit ribosomal RNA
Source: RNAcentral
AUUGAACGCUGGCGGCAGGCUUAACACAUGCAAGUCGAGCGGGGGAAGGUAGCUUGCUACCGGACCUAGCGGCGGACGGGUGAGUAAUGCUUAGGAAUCUGCCUAUUAGUGGGGGACAACAUCUCGAAAGGGAUGCUAAUACCGCAUACGUCCUACGGGAGAAAGCAGGGUAUCUUCGGACCUUGCGCUACUAGAUGAGCCUGAGUCGGAUUAGCUAGUUGGUGGGGUAAAGGCCUACCAAGGCGACGAUCUGUAGUGGGUCCGAGAGGAUGAUCCGCCACACUGGGACUGAGACACGGCCCAGACUCCUACGGGAGGCAGCAGUGGGGAAUAUUGGACAAUGGGGGGAACCCUGAUCCAGCCAUGCCGCGUGUGAAGAAGGCCUUAUGGUUGUAAAGCACUUUAAGCGAGGAGGAGGCUACUCUAGUUAAUACCUAGGGAUAGUGGACGUUACUCGCAGAAUAAGCACCGGCUAACUCUGUGCCAGCCGCCGCCGUAA